Biomphalaria pfeifferi is the source of this 221-nucleotide non-coding RNA. NCBI's taxonomy places the organism in Eukaryota, Metazoa, Mollusca, Gastropoda, Planorbidae. The record is from the annotation of a GenBank genome assembly.
CAUUGAAGUUAGCAUUUGAUUAAUAAUUAGUCUAGUAUCACACCAACAAGUUUCCGUAACACACCUUCACGCUCACACUCCAUCUCGGCGCCCAACAGAAUCUCAACUCCCCACACCUCAACACCGAUAACAACUCCAAAGGCGGAAAGACGACACACUUUCCCAUAGCCCAAAGCCUAACACCCCUUACAAGGGGAACCAACAAAACUAGCUUCCCAGCU